This 253-nucleotide ribosomal RNA is filed under the name uncultured bacterium. RNAcentral's name for it is "partial 16S ribosomal RNA". It matches the Rfam family "Bacterial small subunit ribosomal RNA", at positions 524 to 776 of the family's 1533-position model. The record is from RNAcentral.
GACGAACCGUCCAAACGUUGUUCGGUAUCACUGGGCUUAAAGAGUUCGUAGGCGGCCUAAUAGGUCAGGUGUGAAAUCCCUCGGCUCAACCGAGGAAUUGCGCUUGAUACCACUAGGCUUGAGGGAGAUAGAGGUGGGCGGAACAGAUGGUGGAGCGGUGAAAUGCGUUGAUAUCAUCUGGAACACCGGUGGCGAAAGCGGCCCACUGGAUCUCUUCUGACGCUGAGGAACGAAAGCUAGGGUAGCGAACGGG